This 305-nucleotide ribosomal RNA is filed under the name uncultured bacterium. RNAcentral describes it as "bacterial SSU rRNA". It matches the Rfam family "Bacterial small subunit ribosomal RNA", at positions 333 to 635 of the family's 1533-position model. The record is from RNAcentral.
UUGUUCCUACUGGGCGCAGCAGUGAGGAAUAUUGGUCAAUGGGCGGUAGCCUGAACCAGCCAAGUAGCGUGAAGGGUGAAGGUUUUAUGGAUUGUAAACUUCUUUUAUAAAGGAAUAAAGUGAGGCACGUGUGCCUUUUUGUAUGUACUUUAUGAAUAAGGAUCGGCUAACUCCGUGCCAGCAGCCGCGGUAAUACGGAGGAUCCGAGCGUUAUCCGGAUUUAUUGGGUUUAAAGGGAGCGUAGCUGGGGUGUUAAGUCAGUUGUGAAAGUUUGCGGCUCAACCGUAAAAUUGCAAUUGAUACUG